GCGCCCCGCAAGGGGAGCGGCAGACGGGAGAGUAAUACGUGGGAACGUACCCUUCAGUUCGGAACAACCCAGGGAAACUUGGGCCAAUACCGGAUACGUCCGAAAGGAGAAAGAUUUAUCGCUGAAGGAUCGGCCCACGUCUGAUUAGCUAGUUGGUGAGGUAACGGCUCACCAAGGCGACGAUCAGUAGCUGGUCUGAGAGGAUGAUCAGCCUCACUGGGACUGAGACACGGCCCAGACUCCUACGGGAGGCAGCAGUGGGGAAUAUUGGACAAUGGGCGCAAGCCUGAUCCAGCCAUGCCGCGUGGGUGAUGAAGGCCCUAGGGUUGUAAAGCCCUUUCGGCGGGGAAGAUAAUGACGGUACCCGCAGAAGAAGCCCCGGCUAACUUCGUGCCAGCAGCCGCGGUAAUACGAAGGGGGCUAGCGUUGCUCGGAAUCACUGGGCGUAAAGCGCACGUAGGCGGACUUUUAAGUCGGUGGUGAAAUCCUGGAGCUCACUCCAGAACUGCUCCGAUACUGAGAGUCUUCGAGUCCGGGAGAGGUGAGUGGACUGCGAGUGUAGAGGUGACAUUCGUAGAUAUUCGAAGAACCACCAGUGGCGAAGGCGGUUCACUGGCCCGGUACUGACGCUGAGGUGCGAAAGCGUUGGGGGAGCAAACA
This 660-nucleotide ribosomal RNA is filed under the name uncultured bacterium. RNAcentral describes it as "bacterial SSU rRNA". It matches the Rfam family "Bacterial small subunit ribosomal RNA", at positions 66 to 774 of the family's 1533-position model. The record is from RNAcentral.